RNAcentral lists this long non-coding RNA (685 nucleotides) under Sus scrofa (pig). Its description in RNAcentral is "lncRNA (ENSSSCG00070005087.1)". The record is from RNAcentral. Lineage: Eukaryota; Metazoa; Chordata; Mammalia; Artiodactyla; Suidae.
AUUCCGAAGGGAGUGGAAAUACAACAUGUACUAGCCCAGUUAAUCUUCCCUGAACAGAGCCGGUGCCCUUCCUUAGGGUGCAAAUCCCAGGAUGAAGGAAGCCUAGCCCUCGGCCUCUUGGAGAAAGUGCUCAUCUACUUCAGUGCAGAUAGCUCUUCUUGGAAGGCCAGGACUUUAGCAAGGAAUAUUUGCAGGCUGUUGUGCAAAUCUGCAUUGGAGCUCCUUUCACAUUAUGAUCUUAGUGAAUUCUUGACCAGAUGGACUUGAACAGCUGCCACCCAUGCCCGAAAAGGGAAACAAGCUCUUCCGAGAUUGCAGCCAUCUCCAGCCCUGGGCCGCUCUGCCGCCUUGGAUCACAUCUGGUCAUUUGCUAGGGCACCUGCAAGGCCGUGGCGCGGGAAGGCUCAGGGACUCCUGCUGCCUGGCGUCUCCUCCUGUGUGGUGGAUCACCGAGGCCAGCGGUCGCAGGAGUGGGAUGGCUGCUCUUACUUAUUCAGGACUGUGGAGUCUAGACGGAGGUGGGCAGGGUCAGACAAGCUGGAAGGAGGGCACCGGUGAUCGGUGGUCAGCUGGGGCUGCCAUGACCUGUUCCCUUGGAGAGCAAAUGGGACAGACUCUAAGAAGGGGAGGGCUUCCUGGCCUCCUGGAAAGGGUGGGGAGGCGCUGGAGCGAUAGUAUCUUUUGA